This 1618-nucleotide long non-coding RNA is filed under the name Citrus x clementina. RNAcentral describes it as "Citrus clementina (C. clementina) long non-coding RNA (CCLE_LNC001653)". Lineage: Eukaryota; Viridiplantae; Streptophyta; Magnoliopsida; Sapindales; Rutaceae. The record is from RNAcentral.
ACCCCGACCUUCGGGGGCUGAUUUUUGGGCGCGGCUGUGCCCGUGGCCUAUUUUUGGCACACGGAGGCCGCCCGCCAAGUCUGGGGCCAUUCCGAGUCACGCGGACGAACUUCGCCCACGCCCCCCACCAAGGCUAUAGCCCACCCGUUUUUUGGCCAUUUUUCCGCUGGGGGGUCUCGUGACCCCGACCUUCGGGGGCUGAUUUUUGGGCGCGGCUGUGCCCGUGGCCUAUUUUUGGCACACGGAGGCCGCCCGCCAAGUAUGGUGCAAUUCCGAGUCCCGCGGACGAACUUCGCCCACGCCCCCCACCAAGGCUAUAGCCCACCCGUUUCUUGGCCUUUUUUCCGCUGGGGGGUCUUGGGACCCCGACCUUCGGGGGCUGAUUUUUGGGCGCGGCUGUGCCCGUGGCCUAUUUUUGGCACACGGAGGCCGCCCGCCAAGUCUGGGGCCAUUCCGAGUCCCGCGGACGAACUUCGCCCACGCCCCCCACCAAGGCUAUAGCCCACGCGUUUCUUGGCCUUUUUUCCGCUGGGGGGUCUUGGGACCCCGACCUUCGGGGGCUGAUUUUUGGGCGCGGCUGUGCCCGUGGCCUAUUUUUGGCACACGGAGGCCGCCCGCCAAGUCUGGGGCCAUUCCGAGUCCCGCGGACGAACUUCGCCCACGCCCCCCACCAAGGCUAUAGCCCACGCGUUUCUUGGCCUUUUUUCCGCUGGGGGGUCUUGGGACCCCGACCUUCGGGGGCUGAUUUUUGGGCGCGGCUGUGCCCGUGGCCUAUUUUUGGCACACGGAGGCCGCCCGCCAAGUCUGGGGCCAUUCCGAUUCCCGCGGACGAACUUCGCCCACGCCCCCCACCAAGGCUAUAGCCCACCCGUUUCUUGGCCAUUUUUCCGCUGGGGGGUCUUGGGACCCCGACCUUCGGGGGCUGAUUUUUGGGCGCGGCUGUGCCCGUGGCCUAUUUUUGGCACACGGAGGCCGCCCGCCAAGUCUGGGGCCAUUCCGAGUCCCGCGGACGAACUUCGCCCACGCCCCCCACCAAGGCUAUAGCCCACGCGUUUCUUGGCCAUUUUUCCGCUGGGGGGUCUUGGGACCCCGACCUUCGGGGGCUGAUUUUUGGGCGCGGCUGUGCCCGUGGCCUAUUUUUGGCACACGGAGGCCGCCCGCCAAGUCUGGGGCCAUUCCGAGUCCCGCGGACGAACUUCGCCCACGCCCCCCACCAAGGCUAUAGCCCACGCGUUUCUUGGCCUUUUUUCCGCUGGGGGGUCUUGUGACCCCGACCUUCGGGGGCUGAUUUUUGGGCGCGGCUGUGCCCGUGGCCUAUUUUUGGCACACGGAGGCCGCCCGCCAAGUCUGGGGCCAUUCCGAGUCCCGCGGACGAACUUCGCCCACGCCCCCCACCAAGGCUAUAGUCUACGCGUUUCUUGGCCUUUUUUCUGGUGGGGGGUCUCGUGACCCCGACCUUCGGGGGCUGAUUUUUGGGCGCGGCUGUGCCCGUGGCCUAUUUUUCGCACACGGAGGCCACCCGCCAAGUCUGGGGCCAUUCCGAGUCCCGCGGACGAACUUCGCCCACGCCCCCCACCAAGGCUAUAGCCCACGCGUUUCUUGGCCUUUUUUCCGCUGG